CCUACGGGGGGCAGCAGUGAGGAAUAUUGGGCAAUGGAGGAAACUCUGACCCAGCCAUGCCGCGUGAGUGAAGAAGGUUUUCGAAUUGUAAAGCUCUUUCGGAUGUGAAGAUGAUGACGGUAACAUCUAAAGAAGCCCCGGCAAACUUCGUGCCAGCAGCCGCGGUAAUACGAAGGGGGCAAGCGUUGUUCGGAAUUACUGGGCGUAAAGGGUGUGUAGGCGGGAAAGUAAGAUAGUGGUGAAAUGCCUGAGCUCAACUUGGGAACUGCCAUUAUAACUAUUUUUCUAGAGUGACAGAGAGGAUAUUGGAAUACCCAGUGUAGAGGUGAAAUUCGUAGAUAUUGGGUAGAACACCGGAGGCGAAGGCGAGUAUCUGGCUGUCAACUGACGCUGAGGCACGAAAGCAUGGGGAUCAAACAGGAUUAGAUACCCCGGUAGUC
RNAcentral lists this ribosomal RNA (440 nucleotides) under uncultured bacterium. RNAcentral's name for it is "bacterial SSU rRNA". It matches the Rfam family "Bacterial small subunit ribosomal RNA", at positions 338 to 795 of the family's 1533-position model. The record is from RNAcentral.